This 119-nucleotide ribosomal RNA is filed under the name Pteropus alecto (black flying fox). Lineage: Eukaryota; Metazoa; Chordata; Mammalia; Chiroptera; Pteropodidae. The record is from RNAcentral.
GUCUACGGCCAUGCCACCCCAAAUGUGUCUGAUCCCGUCUGAUCUCAGAAGCUAAACAGGAUCGGGCCUGGUUAGUACCUGGAUGGGAGACCACCUAGGAAGACCAGGUGCCGUAGGCA